CAGAGAUGCUUUGGUGCCUUUCGGGAACUCUGAGACAGGUGCUGCAUGGCUGUCGUCAGCUCGUGUUGUGAAAUGUUGGGUUAAGUCCCGCAACGAGCGCAACCCUUAUCCUUUGUUGCCAGCGGCUCGGCCGGGAACUCAAAGGAGACUGCCGGUGAUAAGCCGGAGGAAGGUGGGGAUGACGUCAAGUCAUCAUGGCCCUUACGGCCAGGGCUACACACGUGCUACAAUGGCGCAUACAAAGAGAAGCGACCUCGCGAGAGCAGGCGGACCUCAUAAAGUGCGUCGUAGUCCGGAUUGGAGUCUGCAACUCGACUCCAUGAAGUCGGAAUCGCUAGUAAUCGUAGAUCAGAAUGCUACGGUGAAUACGUUCCCGGGCCUUGUACACACCGCCCGUCACACCAUGGGAGUGGGUUGCAAAAGAAGUAGGUAGCUUAACCUUCGGGAGGGCGCUUACCACUUUGUGAUUCAUGACUGGGGUGAAGUCGUAACAAGGUAAGCGUAGCGAG
This 509-nucleotide ribosomal RNA is filed under the name uncultured bacterium. Its description in RNAcentral is "bacterial SSU rRNA". It matches the Rfam family "Bacterial small subunit ribosomal RNA", at positions 1001 to 1509 of the family's 1533-position model. The record is from RNAcentral.